Long non-coding RNA from Episyrphus balteatus (marmalade hoverfly), 731 nucleotides. RefSeq lists it as uncharacterized. The transcript is spliced from 2 exons. The record is from RefSeq and is a predicted model, not a curated record. NCBI's taxonomy places the organism in Eukaryota, Metazoa, Arthropoda, Insecta, Diptera, Syrphidae.
GUACGAUACUUACGUAGGAAGUACUAUUGAAGCUCAAAUACGAGUAUAUUUGAAACAAUGGAGCUGAUUUUACAAGGAAAACUGGUUUAAGCAAACAGAUCCGCGAUUUACCAAAGCCAUUAGUGAUUAUACUGGGGAAAACAUUAUUUUGUCUAGGCGACUCUUGAUUUUACGGAAGAAAUUUAUUAUUUCACGGGAAAAGUAACUUUUAAACCCCUUAUUCUAAUCAGGGCAACCUGCGAUUUCACAGCAAAUAUUCGGGUGCAAACCGUGAUUCUUCUGGAGCCAUACGUUAUUGUAAGGGGUUAACAAAACAAUUAUUUUACCGAACGUGCGUGAAUUUCGGUAAAAACAAUUCACGUUGCAAAAAAUUGUUUUAUCCAAAAUCACAGGUUAAAAGUAAUUUUCAAUGCAUCUGCGUGAAUUCCGGCUAAAAUAAUUCACUUUUACACUGUUGCAAAUAGUUGUUUUGGCCAAAAUAAAAGUCAUUUUCAAUGCAUUUUCGAACUCUGCUUAAAAUAAUUCACCUAUACACUUGACCUGUUGCAAAAGUUGUUUUGGGAAAAAUCACAGGUUUGAAAUAAUUUCAAAGCAUUUGUGAAGUGAAUUCCUGUCAAACCAAUUCACGUUUACAAAAGAACUAUUGCAAAAGUUGUUUUGGGAAAAAUCACAGGUUAAAAAUAAUUCCAAAGCAUUUGUGAAGUGAAUUCACGUUUACACAAGAACAAGAA